This 497-nucleotide ribosomal RNA is filed under the name uncultured bacterium. RNAcentral describes it as "partial 16S ribosomal RNA". It matches the Rfam family "Bacterial small subunit ribosomal RNA", at positions 28 to 507 of the family's 1533-position model. The record is from RNAcentral.
GAUGAACGCUGGCGGCGUGCCUAAUACAUGCAAGUCGAGCGAACAGACGAGGAGCUUGCUCCUCUGACGUUAGCGGCGGACGGGUGAGUAACACGUGGAUAACCUACCUAUAAGACUGGGAUAACUUCGGGAAACCGGAGCUAAUACCGGAUAAUCUAUUGAACCGCAUGGUUCAAUAGUGAAAGACGGUUUUGCUGUCACUUAUAGAUGGAUCCGCGCCGCAUUAGCUAGUUGGUAAGGUAACGGCUUACCAAGGCAACGAUGCGUAGCCGACCUGAGAGGGUGAUCGGCCACACUGGAACUGAGACACGGUCCAGACUCCUACGGGAGGCAGCAGUAGGGAAUCUGCCGCAAUGGGCGAAAGCAUGACGGAGCAACGCCGCGUGAGUGAUGAAGGUCUUCGGAUCGUAAAACUCUGUUAUUAGGGAAGAACAAAUGUGUAAGUAACUAUGCACGUCUUGACGGUACCUAAUCAGAAAGCAACGGCUAACUACGUG